RNAcentral lists this ribosomal RNA (896 nucleotides) under Staphylococcus aureus. Its description in RNAcentral is "partial 23S ribosomal RNA". It matches the Rfam family "Bacterial large subunit ribosomal RNA", at positions 12 to 905 of the family's 2925-position model. Lineage: Bacteria; Bacillati; Bacillota; Bacilli; Caryophanales; Staphylococcaceae. The record is from RNAcentral.
UAAGGGCGCACGGUGGAUGCCUUGGCACUAGAAGCCGAUGAAGGACGUUACUAACGACGAUAUGCUUUGGGGAGCUGUAAGUAAGCUUUGAUCCAGAGAUUUCCGAAUGGGGAAACCCAGCAUGAGUUAUGUCAUGUUAUCGAUAUGUGAAUACAUAGCAUAUCAGAAGGCACACCCGGAGAACUGAAACAUCUUAGUACCCGGAGGAAGAGAAAGAAAAUUCGAUUCCCUUAGUAGCGGCGAGCGAAACGGGAAGAGCCCAAACCAACAAGCUUGCUUGUUGGGGUUGUAGGACACUCUAUACGGAGUUACAAAGGACGACAUUAGACGAAUCAUCUGGAAAGAUGAAUCAAAGAAGGUAAUAAUCCUGUAGUCGAAAAUGUUGUCUCUCUUGAGUGGAUCCUGAGUACGACGGAGCACGUGAAAUUCCGUCGGAAUCUGGGAGGACCAUCUCCUAAGGCUAAAUACUCUCUAGUGACCGAUAGUGAACCAGUACCGUGAGGGAAAGGUGAAAAGCACCCCGGAAGGGGAGUGAAAUAGAACCUGAAACCGUGUGCUUACAAGUAGUCAGAGCCCGUUAAUGGGUGAUGGCGUGCCUUUUGUAGAAUGAACCGGCGAGUUACGAUUUGAUGCAAGGUUAAGCAGUAAAUGUGGAGCCGUAGCGAAAGCGAGUCUGAAUAGGGCGUUUAGUAUUUGGUCGUAGACCCGAAACCAGGUGAUCUACCCUUGGUCAGGUUGAAGUUCAGGUAACACUGAAUGGAGGACCGAACCGACUUACGUUGAAAAGUGAGCGGAUGAACUGAGGGUAGCGGAGAAAUUCCAAUCGAACCUGGAGAUAGCUGGUUCUCUCCGAAAUAGCUUUAGGGCUAGCCUCAAGUGAUGAUUAUUGGAGGUAG